UUCUCUUUUUACCAGAUACGGUGCUUUUAAUAAUGAUUGGUCAUGCUACUACAUUGGGCUGCUAAUAGUUAAAUGUUAAGCAGAUGCAUCUACUCUUGUCUCUGUGCGUGCGUGCAUGUGAUGGAGAGAGAGAGAGGUCCAUCUGCCUUGAACAGGCUAACAGGCUGGAUCCCGAAUCCAGAUUGCUGUUAAUCCAACAGGAUGACCCUGAUUAGGUCUUUCUGCCUUGAACAGGCUGGUUCCAGAAUCCAGAUUGCUGUUAAUCCAACAAGACGAUGACCCUGAUCCACUAAAUCUAAGAUAACGCCAUUUCUUACUAGCGUCUAAGCUUGUGUUACCUAAUAGUUGUUUGAACUACUGCUAUUAAUAGGGUUCGGUACAACCAGAAUUUGUAAGGUUUUGGAUCCAAACUGAGUAGUCUCACAUGCACAAGUUUGGAAAUUGUCCCAUUAUGAGGGUCCUGGUGGAUGAAUGGUCAAACUCUUGGUCAUUGCGUAGAUCAAGCUAAACUGCCUUAAAAGGCAUAAACUUUGAGAAACAUGUUACAUUUCUAGCCACUGAGAACAUCUGAAGUACAAUUCAUGCAUAAGGGAAUCAUAAACAUUACAUGAAAUGAUAAAUACUUGACAACUAAUCAGAGUUGUUUCUGCUCAUAUUAUUUUUAAAAUGAUAAAAUUCAAAUUACAGUUAUACCCAUAUUUUCUGUUCCCAAGUGAUAGUCUCUUUAAUUCCCUGUUAAGCUACAACAUAUUCUUUUUAUAACUAAAGAUCACUCUAGCUCUUUACAAAGUAAAGUAAACAAAUUUGGACUUCCAUGAGCUGCUUUGAUUAUAUUGUGUAUGAAUAAAGUAACAAUCAAUCUCAACUUGUUCAGUCCUACCGUGGAGUGAAGUUUUAACCAUAUCAACUAAUGUGUGAUGCCCCAUAUCUCUAUACUUGAAUCAAGACUAGACUAAGCUACUGUUGUUUAUGUCUUACUCUUACAAGAUACUUAGUUACCUCCAAUUAUGACAUAGUACACAGUAGCAUACUCUGUCUUCUGGUGAACUUGCCUAAUCUUGCAUUUGGGUAAGCAAGCUAGUUUAUGACCAUGAUCUUGAUAAGUAAAUCACAUCUAAGCACACCCAGUGUUUAAAGCACGUUUGGGGCUUUUUUUUGGGUGAAGCUCAGUAACUUUUGUUGAGUGCAAUUAAAUCGCGCUUCAAAAAUACCCUUGGGUUUUUUUUAUUUUAUUAUCAAACAAUAUGAAUGGUUAGAUUUAUUUAAAGUUUUGCAAUAGUGUAGCUGCUUUUAUGGAAUUCUUACCCAAAAAAAGCUAUUAUCAGAUCAUAGAAAGAUCUAAAUAAAAUCAUAUAUACAUUUGUUUGAAAAAAAAAAAAAGAAGAAGACUCCACUCUAUUUAUUAAGCAAAAGAUAUUGAAGGAAACAUGUAAUUAGGUGUAAAUUAAGAUUGCUAAUUUAUUCCUAAUUGCUGUAAAUUAGGGCAUAAUGAUUGAUUCCUAAUUGUUAUAAAUUAAGAAUUGAUGAUUGAUUGUAAAUUUGGAAUUGAUUGAUUGGCGAUUGUUGUAAAUUAGGGUUUGAUUAAUCGGGAAUUGUUGUAAAUUAAGGAUGAUUUUUUUCCUCAUUCUUCUAUCCAAUCCUUUGUAUAAAUUGUGUUAAUGAAAUUGAAUGGGUUUUUUUUUUUUUUCAAACUUUUACAAAAAACAAAAGGAGACUCAAUAUAAAAAAUAAAAAAUUAAUAAGGAAGCCGCAACAUAUUUAGAUCCUUUCAACUGAGAGUUUAGACCAGUUUGUCUUCCAAGUUCCAUUAGAACCAACAACUUAUCAUAUUAUAUCAUUUUAUAUGUCCUUUAUGUGUUUUUGCUAUGAUUGCAUGAACUUGUAAAUUGGUAUAAAAUAUAAAUGAAAAAUGGUAUCUCAUCUUUUGUUAAAUUUACAGCCCUCAUUCUUAUUUAAUUUUUUUUAAUGAUUGAUUUUUUAAUAGUUUAUAAUUUGUAUGCUUAUGAAAGUUUAUACUUUUUAUUUUAUUUAUAUACGCUUCACUUUGCUUAAGUAUGUGCUUUGCGCUUAAGCUCUAUAGGCCUUCUACACUUAAGUGCACUUAGCACUUUUCAAAACACUGGGUGCACCCCUAGAUAUCUCAUAACUCAGAUUGUUGCAUUUCGAUAACUUAUAUGGUUGAAUCUAAGAAUUGAUUGACGAACACUUCUAGCAAAUUAUCUAUGCAGUUUGAUCAGUUGAAUAAUUCAAUUUCCAAACUAAUCUCUGAUAUUGAUUUAAAUUUUCAAUAUAUCACCUUUAUUAGCUACAAGCUUUGAGUUUGGAUUUAUAGGAGCAUCAACAGACUUGCCUCAUAACAUCCUUGUCUCAGAAUAUAAAUAAAAAAAUGUCUUCAUAAAAGUAAUACCAAGACAGAAUCUAGAAGUGCCUAUACUGAAGAAAAACUUCAGGGUGCUACAUCCUUAGCACAAAAUACACCAAACAUGUAACAGUAUGAUUAACACCACAUCUCUAAAGACCAAAACACUUUAACAUUAUUACUAAAUCUUCUGAGCCAAGCAAUAGGAGAUUGCUUUAGGCUGUAUAAGGAUCUUCUUAUCUACUCACAAGUAAGAAAUCUCUUAGAUUGCUCCAUAUAUAAUUCUUGAUCAAGGUUUUCUUGUAAGAAAGCAUUUUUAACAUCAAAUGAAAAAGGCCACUGAAACAAGCAUCCAGAUAAAAUAGAAGAGAAAUAGAAGUGGUUUAACCACUGGGGAAAUGGUCCUAGAAUAGUCUGAGCCAUAAACAUGAGUAUAGCCUUGUCAGAGCUUAAUAAUCUGAUACUGGAAUUCUCAAGUGUUUCUUGAGAAUUCUAGGAGAUAGAACAGAGAGGGGAGAUAGAAUUAGAGAAAGAGAAUGACAGAAUUGAGAGGGAGAGAUAGCAAAGAAUUGGAGGGAAAGAAUUCCAAAUUGGAAUUGAAUUCAUUCAUACCUUUCCUCGGGUGAGAUCGGUCUUAUUUAUACUAAUCUCCCUUACAAUCAAAUGGGAAAUCUCCUGCCCAAUGACAACUUGCAUCCUAACUGCCCAACGCCACUUGCAACAAGCAUGUGCGUGUUUGUUACCCUAUUUCCCUCCUAAUUUCCCAAAUUACAAUAAGUUAUUUAGGCGGUACAUGACAAUUAUCCUUCCCUUGAGGAAUUUUUUGUCCUCAAGAAAUACAAAGUAAACUCGCUACCCUAGGGAACUGCUUGAGUAAAUUUGGGAGAUACUCCCAUGUGUUGUCAUUAGUGGGUAGCUGGUUCCACUUUACUAGCACUUGAAUUAGGGGAACCCCUUGAUAUACAACUCUUCGGUCUAGAAUAGCUUUUAGCUCUACUAUAGGCUCCUUCCUCCGAUUACCUGUGGGCAAACUGAGACUUGUUGGCUGACCCCGCAUACUUCUUUAGUAGGGACACGUGAAAUACCAGAUUAAUUUGAGAAUUCUCCGACAAUUGGAGCUUGUAGGCCACUUUGCUAACCUUGCUAUGAUGGGAAAAGGGUCGUAGUAUCUCGGACUUAGCUUUGUUAUUUGCUCAUCUGUCAUGGCCUUAAUCUGUGAGGGUCUAAGCUUUGGAUUCACCUCUCUCUUACUGAAAACUCCCUUUCACUCCUUCCCUUGUCUGACUGUUGCUUUAUUCUGUUCUGUGCCAUGGCCAGAUCUCUUUUUAGCAGCUGAAGAACCCCUUGCCUUUGUUAGAGGUGGUCAUCCACUGCUUUAAUAUUAGUAAACUCUUGGAGCACUAGUAGUAGGAGGGGUUUGUAUCCAAAGAGGGCCUCAAACGAUGACAUCCUAAUGUAGUUGUGGUGGCUGGAGUUGUACCACCAAUGAGCUAAAGCUAGUCGCUUAUGCCACUUCUUGGGCUGUUGGAAACUUAGGCACCUUAGGUAAUUCUCCAAGUAUUGGUAAAACUUCUCGGUUUGCCCAUUCAUUUGAGGGUGGUAGGCAGAUGACAUGCUAAACUUGGUCCCCAUAGACUUCAGUAGUGUCUGCCAAAAAAGGUUGGUGAAUACCUUAUCCCGGUCUGAGAUGAUAGUUCUAGGAACUCCAUGCAGCUUGAUGACUUGAUCAAGGAAUACCCUAGCAACCUCUUGGGUGGUGUAAGGAUGAGAUAGGUCGAUGAAGUGGGCAACCUUCGUGAACCUAUCGACCACCACUAAUAUGCAGUCUCUACUUUGACCUGGGCAGCCCCUUAAUAAAAUCCAUGGGCAUACUCUCCCAAGCUUGCCCUGGAAUGCCUAAGGGUUGUAAUAACCCUAGUGUGGCCACAGUUUCAUACUUGCACUUUCUGUAAGUUUCACAAGUUAUUACAAAUCUAAUCACUGUCUCAUUCAAUUUGGGCCAAAAAAAGAGUUGCCUUACCUUGUGGUAAGUAUUUUGAAUCCUCGAGUGUCUUCCCAAGGGAGACCCAUGUAGGGCCUGGAGGAUCUUCUCCUUAACCUGCGGACAGUCUCCAAUCAAUCACUAUUCUCCCCUUACAUCGUAACACCCCAUUUUGUAGUGUGUACCCUUCUUUGCUAUUAGGAUCUAACACCAACUGCUCCAGAAUCCCUUUGAUUUGCUCAUCUGAGUCAUAGUUGCUGGCCACCUCCUGGUACCACUCUAGUAUUAAUGCGGUAAUGGCUGCUACCUCUCCUUUUUCCUACCACCACAUUGUCCUUCCCUUUCUUAUAUUGUAUAAUGUAAUCAAGACCCAUCAUCUUAGCCAUACCUUCCAUUUGUAGUUGUGUGUGGAGUUUCUGUUGCAGCAAGUACUUCAAACUCUGGUGCUUAGUCUUGAUAAUGAAUUGGCUACUCUCUAAAUAGUGUCUCCACUUUUCUACUGCCAUUAAGACUGCCACAAACUCCUUCUCAUAGAUACUCAAUCCCUUAUGCCUUGGAGCCAAUGCAUGGAUGAGGAAGGCUAUGGGCUUGCCCUCCUGUGUCAAUACAGCCCCCACACCAUUAUCACACGCAUUAGUCCCUACCGCUCAUUGCUUGCUUCAAUUGUCCAAUGGCUGCCUCAGCUUUCGGUCCCCAUCUAAACCCUUCCUUCUUCAACAACUAUGUUAGUGGCCUACUUAUCACUUCAUAUCCCUUCACAGACCUCCUGUAGUACCCUGUCAAGCUUAGGAAUCCCCUUAAGGGUUUGAGGGUGAUGGGUCUUGGCCACGCUUGCAUGGAUGCCACUUUGUUCGAGUUAGUACUAACCCUUGCACCAAAGAUAACAUAUCCCAGGUAUUUGACUUGUCUUUGAGCAAAUGAGCACUUUGACAUCUUAAUGUACAAUUGGUUAACUCUAAGGAUCUCAAAAGUAGCCUUUAAGUGUGUAAGGUGUUGGUCAAAAGUGUGAUUAUACACCAGUAUGUCAUCGAAGAACACAAGGAUAAAGUUUCUUAGGUGCAGUUCAAAUAUUUGGUUCAUUAGGGAUUGGAAAGUGGUUGGGGCGUUGGUAAGGCCAAAGGGCAUUACUAAGAAUUCGUAAUGGCCCUAGUGGGUUCAAAAUGCAGUCUUAGGGAUGUCUUGUGGGCUCAUGCUAAUAUGGUGAUAGCUUGCUCUGAGAUCAAGUUUGGAAAAGAUAGUAUCAUCCCUCAGUUCAUCUAGCAGAUCUUCAAUGAGGGGAAUGAGAAAUUUGUCUUUGACAGUCAUGGCAUUCAAAUGUCGAUAAUCCACGCACAAGCGCCAUGAACCGUCCUUUUUGACUAAUAGCAUAGGGGAUGCAAAAGGGCUGUGGCUGGGCUGAAUUAGAGAAUGUUGCAACAUUUCUUUGACCAUCCUCUCUAUUUUAGUUUUUUGUGCUGGGGGGUAAUGAUAGGCUCGAGCAUUACAAGGUUCAAAUUGAGGCUUUAAGAUAAUGGAGUGGUCGUGGGCUCGGGGUGAAGGUAAGGGUUUAGGCUCUUUAAAUAGAUCCUCAUAUUCAACCAAGAGUAAAUUGAGUAAGUCAAGUUGUUUAUUGGGGUGGACUGCUAACAACUAGCAUUAGCUCACUUCCUGCUCCUUGAUCCUCCUCUUCUUCUUCCAAUGCUUGGAUAGAGAAGAGUUGGGCCACCCUAUUCAUUUUAUGCUUGAAGAUCCUCUACAACCUUUUUCUUGUAAUCAUCUUACACAUUCCCACUUCCUUGUUACCCACUAAUGUCAUCCUCCUCCCCUCCUUUUCAAACGUCACCUUCAUUCUGUUGAAAUCAAAGCAUAUGGGACUCACAUGUUUCAUCCAAUCCACAUCCAAAACCACAUCACAUCCCCCCAAGUUGAGUAGCCUGAGGUCAGUCUCGAAGUUUUCUCCUUGCAUGGCCCAAAGGCCAAUUUACUAACCACUUUGCUUUCAUCUUCCAUAGUCACCGUGAGAGGUUGUUGUACUUACCCCUUCCGCCACUCUCUUCCACCUUAAUAAUCUUAUUAUUGGCCAACCCUCUCAAAGCAUGCAAUGAAAUCUCGCCAUUGUCUUCCUCUCCUUCUUCAGGUGUCUCAAUUAUUUCUUCCUCCUUCACCUUCCAGUAGAAGCAAUUGCUUCUUGCAUUGGUGUCCCAGGAAAUACCUAUCCCCAUGUAUUUUAGGACUUGGAAGGGGUAAGUACUCCCCUGAAAAUCUCCCUCCCUUGAUUCUUCCCAAUGGGGGUCAACGCAUUGUGUGUUCCUCCCUUGUUCAUCAGCCUCUGCUUUUUCAUAAGCGCUUCCAUUCUCAGCUCAUGUAAUCUUGUGUUGUCGGUAGGGUCUUUGGUUGCAAGACCCUUACUAUAGGUCUUAACUCUUCAUUCAAUCCACUUAUAAAGCUAGAGACAAAAUAAGCCUCCGUGAGGUAAGGGUUGUGGUUGAGCAUCAAUGACUUUAACUCCUCAAAUUUCCUCUAAUAAUCCGCCAUUGAUCCCCCUUGUCGGGUCUUAUUAAACUCCUCUACUACAUCGAUCAUCCAUCUUUCUCUAAACCUCACAUAAUUCCUCCGCGAACUCAGUCCAAUGGCAUUACCUGAUAAGGGCAACAGAAGAGAAGGAAUAGGCAAUACCUGGUCAAGACGUUGUGAAUCAGGCUAAACAACCGAGAAGAAAGACUGUUGUUCAAAGAAUGUGACAUCAGCAGACAUAAGAUAGCGAUUCAACUCAGGAGAGUAACACUUAUAGCCUUUCUAGAACCGGGAGUAACCGAGGAAAAUACACUUGAGGGAUUUGGCAGCAAGUUUAUCCUGUCCCGGUGAAAAGGAAUGUACAAAACAGACACAUCCAGACACAUCCAAAUACACGAAGGUGAAUAGAAUAAAGGGGCUGGGAGGGGAACAAAAGAGCGUGAGGAAUGUUGUCCUUUAACACUGAAGAUGGCAUGCGAUGCGAUUGAUCAGAUAACACGCAAUAAGAACAGCAUCUCCCCAAAAUUUGGUGGGAAGAUUGGCAUGUAAAAGUAGUGUUUGCGCAGUUUCAAUGAUAUGGCGAUUUUUACGCUCGGCAACACCAUUUUGUUGAGGUGUAUAAGGACAAGAAGAUUGAUGCAGAAUGCCACGAGUAGUCAUAAAAGUAGUAAAUUGAGAAGAAAAGUACUCAGGGGCAUUAUCACUACGUAAAGCACGUAUAGAAACUCUAAACUGUGUUUUUAUUUCAACAGUGAAUGUCUGAAAGACAAAAAACAACUCAGACUGACUCUUCAUGAGAAACAACCAAGUGCAUCGAGAAAAGUCAUCAAUGAAAGUAACAAAAUAUGAGAAACCAAGAGUAGAAUUGACAUGACUGAAAAAAGAACUACGUGCGUGUUUACCAUGCUGACAUGACUCAGAAUAAAAAAUAGACAACGAUGACAAACUAGGAACUAAUUUCUUCAAUUUGGAGAGGUUGGGAUGACCAAGACGAGAGUGGAGAAGAUCUAGGGAAGUAGCACUCAUGCAAGCCAUCGGCACAGUAAGAUGAUAGUGACCCUGUGAGUCACGCCCGACGCCAAUCGUCCGCCCUGUACCAUGGUCCUGUACACAAACAGAGGUAGGAGUGAAAGUGACUAAGCAGUUAAGGGUUUUAGUAAACUGGCUAACUAAAAUCAAAUUAAAAGGACUGCCAGAGACAUAAAAAACCAAAUUUAAAGAUAAAGAUGAAGUGGGUGUGGUUUGGCCUAUCCCUUUAACUGCAGUUUUGGCGGCAUCAGCCAGGGUAACUGUAGGCAAGGUAUCAGAAUAAGUGAGGAGAAAAGAAGUUCAUUACCACACAUAUGAUUAGUAGCGCCAUAAUCUAUAAUCCAAGGACCAAGAGAUGGGCUUUUAGCAACGCAAGUAACGGGAUUAUCAGGAUGAGACUGCUGGGUGGCCUGAAACUUCAAAAAGACAUCAUACUUAGCUGCAGACAUAGGUAUCAACUGUGAACCCGGUGCAGAUUGGACAGAACUAGGAUCACUCUGGAAUGCAUGAGCUGCAUUGGUAGAUGAUGUAGGCGGAGCAGCAAGCCGACCAUGUUUUUUCCAACACCUGUCGUCAAGAUGACUCAAUUUCUUACAAAAGGUACAAUGUGGACGUGUCCGAUUAUUAUUACGGCCUCUAUUUCCUCCUAAGUGAGAAGCCUGAGACGCAAGGGCUGAAGAUUCGGCUAGAGGAACAACAUGAGAAGAAGAUGACAUACCAUGUGCACUGGUCAUGUUCAGUAACCUUUUAAAAGAGUCCUUCAUGGUAGGAUUAGUGGAGCUAGUCAAGAUUUAAUGCAUGAUGGCAUCAAAUUCUGAUUUUAGACCGAAAAGAGCAAUAACCAUAAAAAACUUAUCUCUUUGAGCAACCUGUUUGGUCUUGGUUGUGGUAAUGGGGAGAAGAGCAUCAAAUUCUUGCAUGAGAACCCGAACCUGUCCCAAAUAAGAUUCCAUGGACGACUCUUGCUUCAGAUUCUUGAUAUUAGAGACCACAGUGUACAAACACUGGAUAUCAUUCGUAUAACAUUCUUCAGCUUCCUUCCUGAUAGAACCUUUCUUGUUUGAUUGAAUUCAAACUCUUAUAGUAGCUUCAAUAAUGGAAAAUAGCAAAGACAAGAAAGAAAACAAAAGAAAUCAGACCUAUUUGAGAGGGCCUCACUCUCCAACGAUUUCUUCAACAAAUUUUCCACACCUUCUCUCUCCUCCACUCUUCCCUUUUAUAUCUCUCCCCUAUUCUGUUUCAGCCACGUAAAAUAAUAUUCUCCUCUAACCAACUUCUGACUGUUUUGCCCCUAACCCAAUUUCCUUGGCUGCCCUUAUCGCUUCUCUCCUUUUACGUGUUUGAUAGGUAAGACUAAUGGGAGUCCUAACACUUCCACACGUCAACACAAGUUUCAAAUGGCCGAAAGAGCUGCAUGAUGGAUGGAUCAAUGGACUGCCAUAGGAGACUACAUAACUGGGCAUCAACUUGUUCCCAUCUAGCCCGAUUGGCUUUCGGCACACUUUCAGCCUUUGUGGUAAGAUGAUCAGCUUAGCCUUGCCCUUUGAACCACAUUUUGAUAGAGGCUGCCCAUGAGAGAUAAUUGGCAGACCCUAUCAACUUGAUAAUGGUGAUAUUGACUGUGCCAAGAUUGGAGACAAUAAAGGACUGAGAGGCAACAGGGGCAGCAGGUGUAGUUGCGAGAGUAGCACCAACAAAAAUUGCGUUACUGAAGUUAGACAUAGCGAGGAUUUGACACCAGGAAUAGGCCUAGGGCAGGGAGGUGAGCUGAUCUGGAGAAGCCGGGAGAAAACGGUCGGCGGAUGCGCCUUCACGCACCAGCACGUGGGGGCAGACAGAUGCAUGUGGCGGCGGCGCGUUGGAGCUCCGGUGGCUACAAUUUUCCGGCAGCAACUCGGCCUGAAGGUGGCAAACCCUAGGGUGGGGUCGGUUCCAGCAAAAGAUGGUCGGACAGUGAUGUUCCGGCAUGAACGGUGAUGAAUAGAAAGAAAACUAGGUUUUUAGGCCGCUGAAAAAAGAUACACAGCGGUGGCUAGGGUUUUUCUCACCGGUGGCUCUGAUAUCAUGUGAGAAAACAAUUAUGAGAGAAAAACUAAGAGAUUAGUCUCUUAGUAUGUUAUUUAUAAUAGGCACAACGGGGCUAAUAAUCUACGGGCUUAGUCUAUGGGUUUAACCUAAUUACACAUAAUUAUAACAAAUAAAUAAAUAAAACUCAUACAACAAUAUGCAAUAUAUCUAAUAAUUCUAAUAAAUACAAGGAAGAGAAAAUAAGGAAACAUGGAGAAAAAGUUCAGAAUUAGGUGAUUUAUGCUUUAACCCUAACGAGUGCAUCCAAUUGAUGAGAUAAUAUGCUAUAAGAUGGCAUCUCUCCAUAAUAGCACUAGGUAUCUUCAUACUUCAUGCAAAAGAGUAAACAAGGAGGCUGUUUCAUAUUCUUUGUUAUUUUUUUCAGCAGCUCUUUUUUGUUGUGAGGUUGAGAUCAAGAAAAUUGAUAAAUUAUAUGAUCAGUAAUAAAAUUGUAAUCUAAAUAGAAAAGGCAUGGAAAAUAGAAAACAAUUUAAAAGAUCAUUAACAAAUGUAACGAAAACUUCUUAAUCACAACUUUAAGAUUGUGAAAAAAUAAUUAGGAGAGAAAAAACCUAAGAGACUAGUCUCUCUUAGCUUGUUAUUUAUAAUAAGUAUAAUGGGACUUAAACCUAUAAGUUUAAUUUAAUUACAAAUAAAACACACAUAUAAUAAUUAUAAUAUAUACUAAUAAUUCUAACACUCUCCCUCAAGCUAGAGUAUAGAUAUCAUAUGCACCAAGUUUGUUACAAAUAUAUUCCACUCGAGACCCUUUAGAGACUUGGUGAAGAUAUCUGCAAGUUGAUCAUUAGAGUUAACAAACUCUGUAACAAUAACACCUUUAACUAGCUUUUCUCUAAAAAAGUGACAGUCGAUUUCAAUAUGCUUACUCCGCUCAUGGAACACUAGAUUGGAAGCAAUGUGUAAGGCAGCCUGAUUAUCACAAAUAAGCUUCAUAGGAGAACUGAGGAACUGACUAACUACACUCACAGUAAAAGCAAUGUCAGGAUGAGUGACUGUGAGAUAGUUCAACUCAUCUACCAGUCUCCUAUACCUUCCAGGAUCUGAAUAAAACUCCUCCUGUCCCGGCAAGAGUUGGAUAUUCGGAUCCAUUGGGGUGUCAACUGGUUUGCAAUUCACCACACCAGUUUCUUCUAAGAUAUCAAGUGCAUACUUCCUCUAAUAAAUUGAGAUACCAUCUCCUGAUUGAGCAACUUCAAUACCUAAGAAAUAUCGAAGUUGGCCUAGGUCUUUGGUCUGAAAGUGCUGAUGUAGAUGUUCCAUCAGCUUCUGCAUUCCAACUUGAUCACUCAUUGUGAUAACAAUGUCAUCUACAUAAACAACAAGGUAGAUGCAUAAGGAAGAAGAAUGGCGAUAGAAAACCAAAUGAUCAGUCUCACUUUGAGUGAGACCAAAGGCUUGAACCACAGUGUUGAACCUGUCAAACUAUGUCCGUGAAGAUUGUUUCAAACCAUAGAGAGACUUCUUGAGUUUGCAGACUACAUUGGACUCCCCCUGAGCAACAAAAUCAGGUGGUUGCUCCAUAUAUACCUCUUCUUGCAAAUCACCAUAAAGAAAGGCAUUUUUAAUAUCAAGCUGAUAGAGUGGCCAAUGACGCAUAGCAGUCAGAGAAAGAAAAAGGCAAACAAAGGCCAUUUUCGCAAUAGGAGAGAAAAUAUCGCUGUAAUUCAGCCUAUAGAUCUGUGUAAAGCCUUUGGCAACCAAGCAGGCCUUAAGACAUUCCACCUGGCCAUCAGGACCCACUUUGGGAGUGAAUACCCAACGACAACCAAC
Long non-coding RNA from Diospyros lotus (date-plum), 11720 nucleotides. RefSeq lists it as uncharacterized. NCBI's taxonomy places the organism in Eukaryota, Viridiplantae, Streptophyta, Magnoliopsida, Ericales, Ebenaceae. The transcript has 2 exons. The record is from RefSeq and is a predicted model, not a curated record.